Molecule: ribosomal RNA, 796 nt
Filed under: uncultured alveolate
Lineage: Eukaryota
Description: SSU rRNA
Rfam family: Eukaryotic small subunit ribosomal RNA
Source: RNAcentral
UGCAUGUCUAAGUAUAAAUAACUACACAGUAAAACUGCGAAUGGCUCAUUAAAACAGUUAUAGUUUAUUUGAUAAAUUAAAUGGAUAACUGUAGGAAACUAGAGCUAAUACAUGCCAAGGUCGUAAGACUGCAUUUAUUAGAUAUACCAAGUCGGUGAAUCAUAAUAACUUUGCAAAUCGAAACAACGUUUCGAUAAAUCAUUCAAGUUUCUGACCUAUCAUGCUGGAUGGUAGUGUAUUGGACUACCAAGGCAGUCACGGGUAACGGAGAAUUAGGGUUCGAUUCCGGAGAAGGAGCCUGAGAAACGGCUACUACAUCUAAGGAAGGCAGCAGGCGCGUAAAUUACCCAAUCCUAAAUCAGGGAGGUAGUGACAAGAUAUAAUAACGCGAUUAAAUAUCGCGAUUGUAGUGAGGGUAUUCUAAAAAUAGCUUCGAGUACGAUUGGAGGGCAAGUCUGGUGCCAGCAGCCGCGGUAAUUCCAGCUCCAAUAGCGUAUAUUAAAGUUGUUGCAGUUAAAAAGCUCGUAGUUGGAUUUCAAGAAACGCAUCUGAGCAAUCAGUUUGCUUUCUACCAGUCUUUGACUGUUACUGUGAGAAAAUUAGAGUGUUUCAAGCAGGCUAUUGCAGGAAUACAUUAGCAUGGAAUAACGAAUGUGUCUACAAUUUGGUUGAUUGUAGGUUACGAUUAAUAGGGACAGUUGGGGGCAUUAGUAUUUAAUUGUCAGAGGUGAAAUUCUUGGAUUUGUUANAGACUAACGUAUGCNAAAGCAUUUGCCAAGGAUGUUUUCAUUAAUCA